UUGAAUCUGGGGUGCGCGUAUAGGCGAGAUGAUUAUUAACCCUAACUUAUAAAAAGGGAUGGCGAAAGUUCAUGGCCGGAUGUCAUGCCCCCUAUGAUAUCAUAGCCAGGGGAAGGCAGAAAAGCCAGACAGCCGACCCACCUGCACAUCGCGGGUUUACAAUCCUCGUAUUAUACGGCAUCUUGGAAACAAA
This 193-nucleotide non-coding RNA is filed under the name Bacillota bacterium. RNAcentral describes it as "6S RNA". It matches the Rfam family "6S / SsrS RNA". From Rfam's summary of the family: E. coli 6S RNA was the first non coding RNA to be sequenced, but its function was unknown until recently. It consists of 184 nucleotides that fold into an extended hairpin structure with a large single-stranded internal bulge. The 6S RNA specifically associates with RNA polymerase holoenzyme containing the sigma70 specificity factor. The record is from RNAcentral. Lineage: Bacteria; Bacillati; Bacillota. RNAcentral also lists the same sequence under 3 other names.